RNAcentral lists this microRNA precursor (105 nucleotides) under Marmota monax (woodchuck). The record is from RNAcentral. Lineage: Eukaryota; Metazoa; Chordata; Mammalia; Rodentia; Sciuridae.
AGUGGGAUUGCUGGAUCAUAUGGUAAUUCUAUUUUUAGUUUUCUGAGGAACAUCUAUACUGUUUUCCAAAAAAAGCCUGUACUAAUUUGCAAUACCAACAGGGUU